RNAcentral lists this transfer RNA (77 nucleotides) under uncultured Acidimicrobiales bacterium. RNAcentral's name for it is "tRNA-Pro-TGG". It matches the Rfam family "tRNA". From Rfam's summary of the family: Transfer RNA (tRNA) molecules are approximately 80 nucleotides in length. Their secondary structure includes four short double-helical elements and three loops (D, anti-codon, and T loops). The record is from RNAcentral. Lineage: Bacteria; Bacillati; Actinomycetota; Acidimicrobiia; Acidimicrobiales.
CGGGGAGUAGCGCAGUCCGGUAGCGCACCUGCUUUGGGAGCAGGAGGCCGGGGGUUCGAAUCCCCCCUCCCCGACUA